UGGGUGUGUAGCGCACCACACUUAUGGAUAGGAGGCUACAAGAUAUUUUAAGAAAAGUUUCCCUUUAUUCAAUAUUCAUGUCGUUCAAGUAAGCGUAAGCUCAAAUUAAACUCUCAGUCUAAUCCUUUUCUCCCUUCCGUUUACAGAACAUGCCUCUAAAGAAGAAUGGAAGAAGAACAGGAAAUCAGCUAGUACCUAAGCAAGUCCAGCCAGAUCCUCUAGAUGAGCAUGUCUCCCACUCAAAAUUCAGAGCAGCUUUCACCACCCAAGAUCAUUUUAUGGCAUCCCAUAAUGAAUGCCCAAUUGUCGUUCCGACC
RNAcentral lists this long non-coding RNA (317 nucleotides) under Capsicum annuum. RNAcentral's name for it is "long non-coding RNA (CANN_LNC012898)". Lineage: Eukaryota; Viridiplantae; Streptophyta; Magnoliopsida; Solanales; Solanaceae. The record is from RNAcentral.